CGACAGUUCAACAGGACAUUGUUCAACAUUUGACCGUCCUAUUUAAAUAAAAAUUUAUGAUUAGUAUUUUCUAUUGUUAUUAGAUACUAAAACAUAAAUAAUAUUUUAUGUGUAACUAUUUAUUAAAUUUUUUAAGAAUUUUUUUAAAUAAGACGGAUGGUCAAACUUUGGACAUGGAAAUACACAACUGCACUUAAA
This 198-nucleotide microRNA precursor is filed under the name Oryza glumipatula. RNAcentral describes it as "MIR812 microRNA precursor family". It matches the Rfam family "MIR812 microRNA precursor family". Lineage: Eukaryota; Viridiplantae; Streptophyta; Magnoliopsida; Poales; Poaceae. The record is from Rfam by way of RNAcentral.